Molecule: ribosomal RNA, 387 nt
Filed under: uncultured bacterium
Lineage: Bacteria
Description: bacterial SSU rRNA
Rfam family: Bacterial small subunit ribosomal RNA
Source: RNAcentral
AUUGAACGCUGGCGGCAUGCUUUACACAUGCAAGUCGAACGGCAGCGCGGGGGCAACCCUGGCGGCGAGUGGCGAACGGGUGAGUAAUGCAUCGGAACGUACCCUGUAAUGGGGGAUAACGUAGCGAAAGUUACGCUAAUACCGCAUACGCUCGAGAGAGGAAAGUGGGGGAUCACAAGACCUCACGUUAUAGGAGCGGCCGAUGUCCGAUUAGCUAGUUGGUGGGGUAAAGGCCUACCAAGGCGACGAUCGGUAGCUGGUCUGAGAGGAUGAUCAGCCACACUGGGACUGAGACACGGCCCAGACUCCUACGGGAGGCAGCAGUGGGGAAUUUUGGGACAAUGGGCGAAAGCCUGAUCCAGCCAUGCCGCGUGCGGGAAGAAGGCC